CAAUAGAUCACAGUUCGUGUGCAUUAAUGUUUCUAUUUGUCAAUGUUAGACAUUAUGAAGAAAAUAAUCUUCUUGAAGUGGAAAGGAAAGCAUUUUAAGCGUCUCCAUCAUCAGGGUUCAGAGGAGGGGCUCCAGGAUGUCACAAACCCCCCAUUUCCAUCUCAUCCUGCUGUUCAACAGCCAACUUCAACUGAAAGUCUGGAGGAUGUUGUGUUUGUUGAUGAGCAGAUGUGUGCCUGGAAAAAGCCGGAGUAUGUUCAGCCGGAACAGGUUCCUUAUGAUGAGCACAGGUACAGAGCCCAACAGCAUAGGGGCCAGUACGGGGGCCACUGUAAAAGUGGCCCUAAAGUAUUUAAUGAUGUCAGGCAUGGGGCCCCAAACAUUGAGGACCAUAAAGUCAACACCGUCUUGCAGAAAGCGGAUUAUUACCCCCAACAAAAUCCUGGCCCCUCAACCAUCCCUUCCAUUCCAGCUGUGGUACACCAUGUUGAGCUCCCAACCUUUACCCCCCCACCCAGAAAUGAGGUGAUCGUGACAAAGGAGCCAUACAUUAAAAAACCCCCC
Molecule: long non-coding RNA, 564 nt
Filed under: Gouania willdenowi (blunt-snouted clingfish)
Lineage: Eukaryota; Metazoa; Chordata; Actinopteri; Blenniiformes; Gobiesocidae
Description: lncRNA (ENSGWIG00000003521.1)
Source: RNAcentral